CUGAGCUCAAAGCAGUCCACCCACCUUGGCCUCCCAAAGUGCUGGGAUUACAGGUGUGAGCCAUCUUGCUCAUUCUAGUUUAAACUUUUGAGUGGUUUGUGUCUCCUGAUUGGACUCCUACAAAUACAGAAUUGAUGCUAGGAAGGGUACCAGGAGAUAGACGCACACAGAUGGGAUUUGGGAAUAGGUUUGGUUAUCCAAGGAGCAGUGCUGAGCUCCUUGCUAAUGGGAUAUGGGAGGCUGGUGAUUUCCAGAAAGUGACCUCACAAUGACUCAAGCUACCACAUACUGUUGAUUGUGAAAUGCCAGUUGAAGCAUAUGUCCUGCGAGCUUAGGGGUGCUACAAGUUGACCACAGCAGCAGUAAAGAUGACUCUGAAGAAUGGCAUGGGAUGGAUCCUUUCGAAUGCAUUUGAGCAGCGGUCUCCAACCACAGGGCCACAGAGCUGGAGGUGAGCAGCAGAUGUCUUUUUGUCACUUCCAGCUGGAUCUACCAUGAAAGACUUCUGAAUCCAGGAAGAGAGACUGACUGGGCAACAUGUUAUUCAGGGUCUCCCUCUGUUGUCCAAGGCUGGAGUGUAGUAGUGCUA
RNAcentral lists this long non-coding RNA (589 nucleotides) under Homo sapiens (human). Its description in RNAcentral is "HSALNT0298471". Lineage: Eukaryota; Metazoa; Chordata; Mammalia; Primates; Hominidae. The record is from RNAcentral.